Long non-coding RNA from Armigeres subalbatus, 541 nucleotides. RefSeq lists it as uncharacterized. The record is from RefSeq and is a predicted model, not a curated record. The transcript is spliced from 4 exons. Lineage: Eukaryota; Metazoa; Arthropoda; Insecta; Diptera; Culicidae.
CUCGCAUCGAGAAAUUGUUUUUGUGAAAUGCCAUUUGUUUAAUUCAGCAAUUGAAUUACUUUUUCGGUGUUUAAUUUAAUUUGAAAACAGUGUCCGUCCCGGAUUGAACAAAUCUUUCACUGGCCCUUUUUGAAUGUGAACGGCAAACAAAGGAUGCAUACCCGAUGAAGCGAUGAAAAAGCACAUAACGGAGAGGAUGCGAAGAUUCUGCAGAUUCGUUCCUACCCGUGGUGAAUCCUACCCGGCAUUUGAAAAUGAAAUUGGGCAGAAACAAAAUUGUCGGCUUUUCUCGGAAGUGGAAACUGUCGGGAUCAUGUCCCCUUUUCUUGAAAGCAUACUGGAUGUUCGAGGAGGAUGCCGGUUGAGGUCCCAUCCAAGAUGAAGCUAAUAGAACACUUUGAAAGGAUCAGAGUCGAAGCAGGUGAGGCUUUCUAGCUCCAAGGGAUGGAAAAAACUAUCUCCGUCGAUACUGACCAGUUUAUAAUAAAUUAACAGAAGAAUAAAUAGAAUUAAUAGUGCGGCAACUGUAGUGGUGGAGUGG